This 74-nucleotide transfer RNA is filed under the name Bacteroidales bacterium. RNAcentral's name for it is "tRNA-Ile". It matches the Rfam family "tRNA". Rfam says of the family: Transfer RNA (tRNA) molecules are approximately 80 nucleotides in length. Their secondary structure includes four short double-helical elements and three loops (D, anti-codon, and T loops). Lineage: Bacteria; Pseudomonadati; Bacteroidota; Bacteroidia; Bacteroidales. The record is from RNAcentral.
GGUCCUAUAGCUCAGUUGGUUAGAGCAGCGGACUCAUAAUCCGUUGGUCCUAGGUUCAAGCCCUAGUGGGACCA